RNAcentral lists this ribosomal RNA (418 nucleotides) under uncultured bacterium. RNAcentral describes it as "bacterial SSU rRNA". It matches the Rfam family "Bacterial small subunit ribosomal RNA", at positions 355 to 787 of the family's 1533-position model. The record is from RNAcentral.
UGGGGAAUAUUGGGCAAUGGGCGCAAGCCUGACCCAGCAACGCCGCGUGAAGGAAGAAGGCCCUCGGGUUGUAAACUUCUUUUAUCAGGGACGAAGGAAGUGACGGUACCUGAUGAAUAAGCCACGGCUAACUACGUACCAGCAGCCGCGGUAAUACGUAGGUGGCAAGCGUUAUCCGGAUUUACUGGGUGUAAAGGGCGUGUAGGCGGGACUGCAAGUCAGAUGUGAAAACCAUGGGCUCAACCCAUGGCCUGCAUUUGAAACUGUAGUUCUUGAGUGUUGGAGAGGCAGGCGGAAUUCCGUGUGUAGCGGUGAAAUGCGUAGAUAUACGGAGGAACACCAGUGGCGAAGGCGGCCUGCUGGACAAUAACUGACGCUGAGGCGCGAAAGCGUGGGGAGCAAACAGGAUUAGAUACCC